GCCGCCUGCCGUCGCACAGGACCCGGUAGUGGCCUGGAGACCUAGGCAGGGCCCCUGGCCUGACACAGAUUGUAAGGUGAGGCCUUUGGCUGCCGGGAUUUUGGCUCCACCUGCAAGCAUUAGGGCAGAAGGGGGGUCGGGUGUCAUAGCACCGCCAGCAGGAUCGGGGUAGAUUUCUCCCGUGGCUGCGUUAUGAACUAUCCACGUCAGAUUUUGGUGAGUGGGGGUUAGUUUCAGCCGCGAGGGGCUACAGCGCAGGUGAUGUUAGCGGGUAAGUGGGAGCGACCCUGCCCUAGCUCCUAGCUUUAGGGGAUGGUCCUCGGCGGGCCGCCUCGGGGGGCAGCUGGCCGGCGCGGGUGCAGCGACCCCCGGACUUACUCCCUAACAGCAUCUAAAAGCCCGACUAGGGGAUCCCUGGGUGGCGCAGCGGUUUGGCGCCUGCCUUUGGCCCAGGGUGCGAUCCUGGAGACCCGGGAUCGAGUCCCGCAUCGGGGUUCCGGUGCAUGGAGCCUGCUUCUCCCUCCGCCUGUGUCUCUGCCUCUCUCUCUCUCUCUGUGUGUGACUAUCAUAAAUUAAAAAAAAAAAAUUUAAAAGCCCGACUAGACCUUUCGGGUUAUCCGAGCACUUUGCAUUUUGGGUUCUCCAAUUACAUGAAUCACUGCUGGAGGACGGCCAGGACCCCGGUCGCUCUCGGGUCUCGUCGGGGGCGGGGCCGCCCGCGGGUCCACCCGCCCGCCCCGCCGCGGGCCGCGCUCCGGGACCCGUCAGGGAGGGGCGCCCCGUCUGCAGCCCCCGCGCCUCCGGCAGGGCGGCGGGAGGAUCAGGUCCUGGGGGAGGAAUCCUGCACGACCGGUCUUUUCCACCUAGUAAUUCCAUCCUCACAAUUGAUCGCAGCAGAAACCCGAAUGCAGUUUUGCCUCUCGGCCUCCUGAAACUAACUCUUCCACCGGCCAAAAAAUAAAGACAUAAGUGGUUAUAAAGUGUCCA
This is a long non-coding RNA of Vulpes vulpes (red fox), 987 nucleotides long. The record is from Ensembl. Lineage: Eukaryota; Metazoa; Chordata; Mammalia; Carnivora; Canidae.